CCCUGGGCUACGUCUCACCGUUUGUUUGUUUCAAGUCUCGUGAUCUUCAAAUGAUUAAAUGAGAUGAGGGGUGUGGAAGAGUUGGGCAAACUAUCUCUACCUCAAAUCUCUGCCUCCAUUCCUACUGGUGGGAGUUCCAGCCAUCCUUUCCAGCCUGAACCGUUGCAGCAGCCUCCUAAAGUCUCCUGCAGACAAACUCAGCCUCCAUUCAGCCUCCAGAGCGAACUCUCUAAAAUGCGCUUCUCUUUAAAAUCCUGCAGAGGUUCCCCUGGCUUCUGGCCGCAGUGCGGACCUACAAGGUAUCCAAUACAAACCUCGCAGUGCCCUCAAGCUUUUAAAAGACCACAAAGAGCCCCAGACUUCAAGAAGCAGCCAAAAUCCUCAAAGUAAGGCAACACACAGCCAGGCAAGGGAACGCUAUAGGAAGAAAAACAGUGAUUGAAAUAUUUCUAAAAAUUCCCUGCUACAGAUGUUUUGGGUAUGGAAAGAAGAGAAUGUGGACACGGGGGGGAGGAGAUGCUGAGUCACUGGGAAAGGCUUGAGCAUGUUUAUAGGCUGAGGAAAAAACAGAGCCAGGAAAGGAGGAGAAGCCCAAGACAGAGAGAAAGACAGUGAAGCGAGUCUUGAGAAGUCCUGGGAGGCUUGCUGAUCUCCGCCCAGGAUGAUUCUGGGCCUGGGCCCAGCCCUUCCCUCCUUUGAUCCUACUCCCUUUUUAAGACCCAAGCCAUGAUCACAACCCAAGACAGGUCACCUUACCUCCUGUUUCACUGAGAAAAUGCAGACCAUCAAGAGGGAACACCCACGGAUCUACACAUUAACCCACAUCAGCAUCCGCUGUCUCUCCCUCACUCCAGUUUCUGCCAAGGGGCAAUGCCCCCUCCCAAGAGACCUAACCCUUCACAGAUGAGAAACUGAGGAAACUUUACAUGUAUGAGUUCAUUUAAUCUUUCAAACAAUCCUAAGAAGCAGUUCCUCCAUGUGGCUGUUUCAGAUGCCAAGCAGAGAAGCUCCUCGAAGCCUGUUACCCACUGUCCUCCUGGAUCGUCAUUAAAAACUUCCCCUGACCUUUGCAGCUACUUCCUGUGAGCCUCUUAGGGACUGCUUGUGACCUAUUUUCAGAGCUGGCGGUUCUGGCUUCUAGAGCAAAUGAGGAACAAGCCCAGCUACAGGUGGUCGACUGUUUCCUUUGGGCUCCUGGCACCAAGGAAGAAUUGCUCACUGAAAGGAUCGUAGGUCAGAAGGAUGCCUGGUUGCCGCAUCAGGGCGGUAGAUUUUCAUAUAAACCGUGGGUCAGUAUUCAGGAUCGUCCGAAAGCUGUUAUCUUCUGUUUGCUGAAGACAGUUUCUUCCUUAUAGUAAUAAAGAAAAAGAACCCAUUGAAUCUUCUUGUUGGUUUUUUUUUCCUCAAAGCAAAGAUGCCUCACCAGAAUUGGUCAAUUAAGGAAAUACUGAUUGAGCUCCUGAGUGGAAGUCCCAU
Molecule: long non-coding RNA, 1476 nt
Filed under: Equus asinus (donkey)
Lineage: Eukaryota; Metazoa; Chordata; Mammalia; Perissodactyla; Equidae
Description: lncRNA (ENSEASG00005036252.1)
Source: RNAcentral